GAACGGUGAAUCAUCGAAUCUUUGAACGCACAUUGCGCCCCCUGGUAUUCCGGGGGGCAUGCCUGUCCGAGCGUCAUUGCUGCCCUCAAGCACGGCUUGUGUGUUGGGCCUCCGUCCUCCUCCCGGGGGACGGGCCCGAAAGGCAGCGGCGGCACCGCGUCCGGUCCUCGAGCGUAUGGGGCUUCGUCACCCGCUCUUGUAGGCCCGGCCGGCGCUUGCCGACACAUCAAUCUUUUUUCCAGGUUGACCUCGGAUCAGGUAGGGAUACCCGCUGAACUUAAGCAUAUCAAUAAGCGGAGG
This 300-nucleotide unclassified non-coding RNA is filed under the name uncultured Penicillium. RNAcentral describes it as "sequence contains 5.8S rRNA gene, ITS2". The stretch from base 1 to 76 matches the Rfam family "5.8S ribosomal RNA", at positions 77 to 154 of the family's 154-position model. The record is from RNAcentral. Lineage: Eukaryota; Fungi; Ascomycota; Eurotiomycetes; Eurotiales; Aspergillaceae.